This 704-nucleotide ribosomal RNA is filed under the name uncultured bacterium. Its description in RNAcentral is "bacterial SSU rRNA". It matches the Rfam family "Bacterial small subunit ribosomal RNA", at positions 728 to 1430 of the family's 1533-position model. The record is from RNAcentral.
UNUGGGCUGUAACUGACGCUGAGAAGCGAAAGCAUGGGGAGCGAACAGGAUUAGAUACCNUGGUAGUCCAUGCCGUAAACGUUGGGCACUAGGUGUGGGGGACAUUCCACGUUUUCCGCGCCGUAGCUAACGCAUUAAGUGCCCCGCCUGGGGAGUACGGCCGCAAGGCUAAAACUCAAAGGAAUUGACGGGGGCCCGCACAAGCGGCGGAGCAUGCGGAUUAAUUNGAUGCAACGCGAAGAACCUUACCAAGGCUUGACAUGCAUUAGAUCGCGUCAGAGAUGGCGUUUCCCUUCGGGGCUGGUGUACAGGUGGUGCAUGGUAGUCGUCAGCUCGUGUCGUGAGAUGUUGGGUUAAGUCCCGCAACGAGCGCAACCCUCGUUCUAUGUUGCCAGCGGUUCGGCCGGGGACUCAUAGGAGACUGCCGGGGUCAACUCGGAGGAAGGUGGGGAUGACGUCAAAUCAUCAUGCCCCUUAUGUCUUGGGCUUCACGCAUGCUACAAUGGCCGGUACAGAGGGUUGCGGUACUGUGAGGUGGAGCUAAUCCCUUAAAGCCGGUCUCAGUUCGGAUUGGGGUCUGCAACUCGACCCCAUGAAGUCGGAGUCGCCAGUAAUCGCAGAUCAGCAACGCUGCGGUGAAUACGUUCCCGGGCCUUGUACACACCGCCCGUCAAGUCACGAAAGUUGGUAACACCCGAAGCCGG